Molecule: ribosomal RNA, 377 nt
Filed under: uncultured bacterium
Lineage: Bacteria
Description: bacterial SSU rRNA
Rfam family: Bacterial small subunit ribosomal RNA
Source: RNAcentral
AUUGAACGCUGGCGGAAUGCUUUACACAUGCAAGUCGAACGGCAGCACGGGGCAACCUGGUGGCGAGUGGCGAACGGGUGAGUAAUACAUCGGAACGUGCCCAAUCGUGGGGGAUAACGUAGCGAAAGUUACGCUAAUACCGCAUACGAUCUACGGAUGAAAGCGGGGGAUCGCAAGACCUCGCGCGAAUGGAGCGGCCGAUGUCAGAUUAGGGUAGUUGGUGGGGGUAAAGGCUCACCAAGCCGACGAUCUGUAGCUGGUCUGAGAGGACGACCAGCCACACUGGGACUGAGACACGGCCCAGACUCCUACGGGAGGCAGCAGUGGGGGAAUUUUGGGACAAUGGGCGCAAGCCUGAUCCAGCCAUUCCGCGUGCA